CCUACGGGGGGCAGCAGUGGGGAAUAUUGGACAAUGGGCGAAAGCCUGAUCCAGCCAUGCCGCGUGUGUGAAGAAGGCCUUCGGGUUGUAAAGCACUUUCAGUGGGGAAGAAAGCCUUGGGGCUAAUACCCUCGAGGAAGGACAUCACCCACAGAAGAAGCACCGGCUAACUCCGUGCCAGCAGCCGCGGUAAUACGGAGGGUGCGAGCGUUAAUCGGAAUUACUGGGCGUAAAGCGCGCGUAGGCGGUCUGAUAAGCCGGUUGUGAAAGCCCCGGGCUCAACCUGGGAACGGCAUCCGGAACUGUCAGGCUAGAGGGCAGGGGAGGAAGGUAGAAUUCCCGGUGUAGCGGUGAAAUGCGUAGAGAUCGGGAGGAAUACCAGUGGCGAAGGCGGCCUUCUGGACUGACACUGACGCUGAGGUGCGAAAGCGUGGGUAGCAAACAGGAUUAGAUACCCCGGUAGUC
RNAcentral lists this ribosomal RNA (465 nucleotides) under Vreelandella stevensii. RNAcentral describes it as "partial 16S ribosomal RNA". It matches the Rfam family "Bacterial small subunit ribosomal RNA", at positions 338 to 795 of the family's 1533-position model. The record is from RNAcentral. Lineage: Bacteria; Pseudomonadati; Pseudomonadota; Gammaproteobacteria; Oceanospirillales; Halomonadaceae.